GACGAACGCUGGCGGCGUGCUUAACACAUGCAAGUCGAACGGUGAAGCCUUUCGGGGUGGAUCAGUGGCGAACGGGUGAGUAACACGUGGGCAAUCUGCCCUGCACUCUGGGACAAGCCCUGGAGACGGGGUCUAAUACCGGAUAUGACUUCCUGCCGCAUGGUGGGGGGUGGAAAGCUCGGGCGGUGCAGGAUGAGCCCGCGGCCUAUCAGCUUGUUGGUGGGGUGAUGGCCUACCAAGGCGACGACGGGUAGCCGGCCUGAGAGGGCGACCGGCCACACUGGGACUGAGACACGGCCCAGACUCCUACGGGAGGCAGCAGUGGGGAAUAUUGCACAAUGGGCGGAAGCCUGAUGCAGCGACGCCGCGUGGGGGAUGACGGCCUUCGGGUUGUAAACCUCUUUCAGCAGGGAAGAAGCGUGAGUGACGGUACCUGCAGAAGAAGCACCGGCUAACUACGUGCCAGCAGCCGCCGUAA
RNAcentral lists this ribosomal RNA (478 nucleotides) under uncultured bacterium. RNAcentral describes it as "partial 16S ribosomal RNA". It matches the Rfam family "Bacterial small subunit ribosomal RNA", at positions 28 to 523 of the family's 1533-position model. The record is from RNAcentral.